CCCUUAGAUGUUCGGGGCCGCACGCGCGCUACACUGAAGGAAUCAGCGUGCUCUUGUCCUGGUCUGGAAAGACUGGGUAACCCGUUGAACCUCCUUCGUGCUAGGGAUUGGGGCUUGCAAUUAUUCCCCAUGAACGAGGAAUUCCUAGUAAGCGCAAGUCAACAGCUUGCGUUGAUUACGUCCCUGCCCUUUGUGCACACCGCCCGUUGCUACUACUGAUUGGAUGUUUAAGCGAGGUUCUCGAACUGCUAGCGACUUAGCUUCGGUGAGGUCGCCGUGUGGGAAGUGAACCUAGCUUUGGUGUCUAGAGGAAGUAAAAGUCGUAUCA
RNAcentral lists this ribosomal RNA (328 nucleotides) under uncultured eukaryote. RNAcentral describes it as "partial 18S ribosomal RNA". It matches the Rfam family "Eukaryotic small subunit ribosomal RNA", at positions 1470 to 1796 of the family's 1831-position model. The record is from RNAcentral.